UCCCUGGUGGUUCAGUGGUUAAAACUCUGUUCUCCCAAUGCAGGGGAUGCAGGUUCAGUCCCUGAUCAGGGAA
Molecule: transfer RNA, 73 nt
Filed under: Ovis aries (sheep)
Lineage: Eukaryota; Metazoa; Chordata; Mammalia; Artiodactyla; Bovidae
Rfam family: tRNA
About the family: Transfer RNA (tRNA) molecules are approximately 80 nucleotides in length. Their secondary structure includes four short double-helical elements and three loops (D, anti-codon, and T loops). Further hydrogen bonds mediate the characteristic L-shaped molecular structure. tRNAs have two regions of fundamental functional importance: the anti-codon, which is responsible for specific mRNA codon recognition, and the 3' end, to which the tRNAs corresponding amino acid is attached (by aminoacyl-tRNA synthetases). tRNAs cope with the degeneracy of the genetic code in two manners: having more than one tRNA (with a specific anti-codon) for a particular amino acid; and 'wobble' base-pairing, i.e. permitting non-standard base-pairing at the 3rd anti-codon position.
Source: Rfam by way of RNAcentral